UGGCUCAUUAAAUCAGUUAUCGUUUAUUUGAUAGUACCUUACCACUUGGAUAACCGUGGUAAUUCUAGAGCUAAUACAUGCUAAAAACCCCGACUUCGGAAGGGGUGUGUUUAUUAGAUAAAAAACCAAUGCCCUUCGGGGCUCUUUGGUGAUUCAUGAUAACCUAACGGAUCGCAUGGCCUUGCGCCGGCGACGGUUCAUUCAAAUUUCUGCCCUAUCAACUUUCGAUGGUAAGGUAUUGGCUUACCAUGGUUUCAACGGGUAACGGGGAAUUAGGGUUCGAUUCCGGAGAGGGAGCCUGAGAAACGGCUACCACAUCCAAGGAAGGCAGCAGGCGCGCAAAUUACCCAAUCCCGACACGGGGAGGUAGUGACAAUAAAUACUGAUACAGGGCUCUUUUGGGUCUUGUAAUUGGAAUGAGUACAAUUUAAACCCCUUAACGAGGAACAAUUGGAGGGCAAGUCUGGUGCCAGCAGCCGCGGUAAUUCCAGCUCCAAUAGCGUAUAUUAAAGUUGUUGCAGUUAAAAAGCUCGUAGUUGAAACUUGGGUCUGGCUAGCGGGUCCGCCUCACCGCGUGCACUUGUCCGGCUGGACCUUUCCUUCUGGAGAACCUCAUGCCCUUCACUGGGUGUGUUGGGGAACCAGGACUUUUACUUUGAAAAAAUUAGAGUGUUCAAAGCAGGCCUUUGCUCGAAUACGUUAGCAUGGAAUAAUAGAAUAGGACGUGCGGUCCUAUUUUGUUGGUUUCUAGGAUCGCCGUAAUGAUUAAUAGGGAUAGUCGGGGGCAUCAGUAUUCAAUUGUCAGAGGUGAAAUUCUUGGAUUUAUUGAAGACUAACUACUGCGAAAGCAUUUGCCAAGGAUGUUUUCAUUAAUCAGUGAACGAAAGUUAGGGGAUCGAAGACGAUCAGAUACCGUCGUAGUCUUAACCGUAAACUAUGCCGACUAGGGAUCGGGCGAUGUUUCUAUCUUGACUCGCUCGGCACCUUACGAGAA
This 994-nucleotide ribosomal RNA is filed under the name Phragmocephala garethjonesii. RNAcentral's name for it is "SSU rRNA". It matches the Rfam family "Eukaryotic small subunit ribosomal RNA", at positions 94 to 1096 of the family's 1831-position model. Lineage: Eukaryota; Fungi; Ascomycota; Dothideomycetes; Pleosporales; Melanommataceae. The record is from RNAcentral.